CAGUCGCCGCGGGAAUACGGAGGGGCGCGAGCGUUACCCGGAUUUACUGGGCGUAAAGGGCGUGUAGGCGGCCUGGGGCGUCCCAUGUGAAAGGCCACGGCUCAACCGUGGAGGAGCGUGGGAUACGCUCAGGCUAGAGGGUGGGAGAGGGUGGUGGAAUUCCCGGAGUAGCGGUGAAAUGCGCAGAUACCGGGAGGAACGCCGAUGGCGAAGGCAGCCACCUGGUCCACUUCUGACGCUGAGGCGCGAAAGCGUGGGGAGCAAACCGGAUUAGAUACCCGUGUAGUCCCUGUCUCUUAUA
Molecule: ribosomal RNA, 301 nt
Filed under: uncultured bacterium
Lineage: Bacteria
Description: partial 16S ribosomal RNA
Rfam family: Bacterial small subunit ribosomal RNA
Source: RNAcentral